This 1501-nucleotide unclassified non-coding RNA is filed under the name Gigantopelta aegis. Its description in RNAcentral is "eTS-related transcription factor Elf-3-like, transcript variant X2". Lineage: Eukaryota; Metazoa; Mollusca; Gastropoda; Neomphalida; Peltospiridae. The record is from RNAcentral.
AUAGUUCAGACGUGCUGGAGGUUUUUCACUUCGUUAAGCAUGCGGAAGAAUUCUGGCUUACCUGGAUUCGUUACCUGCGGCUGGUCGUGGAUAUUUCCAACUGGAGUACAGCAUCGUAAAGCCAAAACUAUUGCAGAUUGUCUACAUGUUACCGGGAUACUGAUGUGUCAUACUGGAGUACCAAGUCAAGUUUCUUCAGACUAGACAGUCGACAUGUUGUCAGGAUACUGAUAUACUGAUAUACUCUACUUGAGGAGCAAGUCAAGUUUUUUCAGACUAGAUGGAAACAAGUCAAGUUUUUUCAGACUAGAUGGAAACAAGUCAAGUUUUUUCAGACUAGAUGGUUUACAUGUUACCGGGAUACUGAUGUACCAUACUGGAGGAAGAAUAUGAAUUAUGAGAAUGUUUUACAGCACCCCAGCACAUGGUUUUGUCUUCUUCUUGGCAGUGUACAAUGAACAGAAUGUUUUACAGCACCCCAGCACAUGGUUUUGUCUUCUUGGCAGUGUACAAUGAACAGAUUGUUUUACAGCACCCCAGCACAUGGUUUUGUCUUCUUGGCAGUGUACAAUGAACAGAUUGUUUUACAGCACCCCAGCACAUGGUUUUGUCUUCUUCUUGGCAGUGUACAAUGAACAGAUUGUUUUACAGCACCCCAGCACAUGGUUUAGUCUUCUUGGCAGUGUACAAUGAACAGAUUGUUUUACAGCACCCCAGCACAUGGUUUUGUCUUCUUCUUGGCAGUGUACAAUGAACAGAUUGUUUUACAGCACCCCAGCACAUGGUUUUGUCUUCUUCUUGGCAGUGUACAAUGAACAGAUUGUUUUACAGCACCCCAGCACAUGGUUUAGUCUUCUUGGCAGUGUACAAUGAACAGAUUGUUUUACAGCACCCCAGCACAUGGUUUUGUCUUCUUGGCAGUGUACAAUGAACAGAUUGUUUUACAGCACCCCAGCACAUGGUUUUGUCUUCUUCUUGGCAGUGUACAAUGAACAAAUUGUUUUACAGCACCCCAGCACAUGGUUUAGUCUUCUUGGCAGUGUACAAUGAACAGAUUGUUUUACAGCACCCCAGCACAUGGUUUUGUCUUCUUCUUGGCAGUGUACAAUGAACAGAUUGUUUUACAGCACCCCAGCACAUGGUUUAGUCUUCUUGGCAGUGUACAAUGAACAGAUUGUUUUACAGCACCCCAGCACAUGGUUUAAUUACCAAGAAAAGAGAUGUUUAACAUCUAUACAUCAUGUGUUUUAAAGUGACACACCCAAGUUUUUAAAGGGACAGAUCUUAGUUUUUAAACACAUAAAGGCAUAUUUUUCACUAUCACAGCCGUUUAUGAUCACUGAAAUCAAACAUUACUGGUAUUUUAGUGUUUAGAGUAUCCAUUUCCAUACAUCCAAAGUGUUUUUGGUCAUCCUGGUGUUUCUAAUACCACAAAAUACAUUUUUUAUAUUUUUAAAAACACAUGUGCGUCUGAGAAGUAACUGUUAUGGAGUCGCCUUUU